RNAcentral lists this transfer RNA (73 nucleotides) under Planctomycetia bacterium. RNAcentral's name for it is "tRNA-Arg". It matches the Rfam family "tRNA". From Rfam's summary of the family: Transfer RNA (tRNA) molecules are approximately 80 nucleotides in length. Their secondary structure includes four short double-helical elements and three loops (D, anti-codon, and T loops). Further hydrogen bonds mediate the characteristic L-shaped molecular structure. tRNAs have two regions of fundamental functional importance: the anti-codon, which is responsible for specific mRNA codon recognition, and the 3' end, to which the tRNAs corresponding amino acid is attached (by aminoacyl-tRNA synthetases). tRNAs cope with the degeneracy of the genetic code in two manners: having more than one tRNA (with a specific anti-codon) for a particular amino acid; and 'wobble' base-pairing, i.e. permitting non-standard base-pairing at the 3rd anti-codon position. Lineage: Bacteria; Pseudomonadati; Planctomycetota; Planctomycetia. The record is from RNAcentral. RNAcentral also lists the same sequence under 3 other names.
GCGCCUGUAGCUCAGGGGAUAGAGCAACGGUUUCCUAAACCGUAGGUCGGAGGUUCGAAUCCUCUCAGGCGUA